This 407-nucleotide ribosomal RNA is filed under the name uncultured bacterium. RNAcentral's name for it is "partial 16S ribosomal RNA". It matches the Rfam family "Bacterial small subunit ribosomal RNA", at positions 28 to 526 of the family's 1533-position model. The record is from RNAcentral.
GACGAACGCUGGCGGCGUGCCUAAUACAUGCAAGUAGAACGCAGUUGCGAACGGGUGAGUAACGCGUAGGUAACUGCCUCAUAGCGGGGGAUAACUAUUGGAAACGAUAGCUAAUACCGCAUACUGUGAGAUGGACCUGCGUUGUAUUAGCUAGUUGGUGAGGUAAAGGCUCACCAAGGCGACGAUACAUAGCCGACCUGAGAGGGUGAUCGGCCACACUGGGACUGAGACACGGCCCAGACUCCUACGGGAGGCAGCAGUAGGGAAUCUUCGGCAAUGGACGGAAGUCUGAUGCAGCCAUGCCGCGUGUAUGAAGAAGGCCUUCGGGUUGUAAAGUACUUUCAGCGAGGAGGCGUUACUCGCAGAAGAAGCACCGGCUAACUCCGUGCCAGCAGCCGCGGUAAUUC